This 334-nucleotide ribosomal RNA is filed under the name uncultured bacterium. RNAcentral describes it as "partial 16S ribosomal RNA". It matches the Rfam family "Bacterial small subunit ribosomal RNA", at positions 338 to 669 of the family's 1533-position model. The record is from RNAcentral.
CCUACGGGUGGCAGCAGUGAGGAAUAUUGGUCAAUGGACGAGAGUCUGAACCAGCCAAGUAGCGUGAAGGAUGACUGCCCUAUGGGUGGUAAACUUCAUUUAUAGGGGAAAAAAACAGGGUAGGCAUACACUCUUGUAUGGACAAUAUGAAUAAGGAACGGCUAACUCCGUGCCAGCAGCCGCGGUAAUACGGAGGAUCCGAGCGUUAUCCGGUUUUAGUGGGUUUAAAGGGCGCGUAGGGGGAUUGUUAAGUCAGUUGUGAAGGUUUGCGGCUCAACCGUAAAAUUGCAGUUGAAACUGGCAGUCUUGAUUACAGUAGAGGUGGGCGGAAUUC